CCAGCAGCUGCGGUAAUUCCAGCUCCAAUAGCGUAUAUUACAGUUGUUGCAGUUAAAAAGCUCGUAGUUGAAGUUCUGAUUGUUCAGGCUUUCAGCCUUUAGGCGAGAGUUCUGACAGUCAUCCGCUUGCAAGCAUAUGCUCGACCUUCAAAAGUCGACUAUGUGAGUAAGCAUUUUACCUUGAGAAAAACAGAGUGUUCCAGGCAGGUUUGUCCGGGAUGCAUUAGCAUGGAAUAAUAGAACAUGACUAAAGUCUUUUUAUUGGUUAUAGGCUAUAGUAAUGAUUAAUAGGAACAGUCGGGGGCAUUCGUACUCAGCAGUCAGAGGUGAAAUUCUAGGAUUUGCUGAAGACGAACUAAUGCGAAAGCAUUUGCCAAGGAUGUUUUCA
This 388-nucleotide ribosomal RNA is filed under the name uncultured eukaryote. Its description in RNAcentral is "SSU rRNA". It matches the Rfam family "Eukaryotic small subunit ribosomal RNA", at positions 567 to 972 of the family's 1831-position model. The record is from RNAcentral.